UACGGAGGGUGCGAGCGUUAAUCGGAAUUACUGGGCGUAAAGCGCGCGUAGGCGGUCUGAUCAGCCGGUUGUGAAAGCCCCGGGCUCAACCUGGGAACGGCAUCCGGAACUGUCAGGCUAGAGUGCAGGAGAGGAAGGUAGAAUUCCCGGUGUAGCGGUGAAAUGCGUAGAGAUCGGGAGGAAUACCAGUGGCGAAGGCGGCCUUCUGGACUGACACUGACGCUGAGGUGCGAAAGCGUGGGUAGCAAACAGGAUUAGAUACCCCCGUAGUCCCU
Molecule: ribosomal RNA, 275 nt
Filed under: uncultured prokaryote
Description: partial 16S ribosomal RNA
Rfam family: Bacterial small subunit ribosomal RNA
Source: RNAcentral